This 495-nucleotide long non-coding RNA is filed under the name Struthio camelus australis. RNAcentral describes it as "lncRNA (ENSSCUG00000002078.1)". The record is from RNAcentral. Lineage: Eukaryota; Metazoa; Chordata; Aves; Struthioniformes; Struthionidae.
ACAAAUAGCAGUAAAUUAAAAUGCCCUUGUUUUCAAAAAUGCAGAAUUUCUUCAUCAGACGAGCUCCAUGAAGAUGACUUAUUUUCCACUAAGAGGGGGCAAAAUGUAUUUAAACCAGGACAUGCACAUCCUUCUUGCUAUGUGUGUAGCCCUUUGCUACAGUGAAGGGAAAACUCUCCCAAAUCCACUUUUGGCAGCAUCCAACAUUCUCCUUAGGAGUGGAGAAGAUAGCACACAUCAGAGCAGCCAAUUAUUUUUUCCUAAACCUCAGCAAGAGUCUUGUUGGGUGCCGAUACAGCACGCUCAGUGAUGGCUGUUUCUUGGGCAGUCCUGUAUUAGAGCUGUUUGAGAAUUUAGCGCACGCUAGCUACGUACAUGGGAUUAUCAACUCAGUUUUGUAACAUCAGCCACAAAAGCACCAAGGAGCGUUACUGAGGAUUUCAAGGUAUGUCUUCAAAAGCUGUAUUAAUUUUUCACUAGGUUUUUGUAUCCCUA